This 2973-nucleotide long non-coding RNA is filed under the name Nicotiana benthamiana. RNAcentral's name for it is "long non-coding RNA (NBEN_LNC036347)". The record is from RNAcentral. Lineage: Eukaryota; Viridiplantae; Streptophyta; Magnoliopsida; Solanales; Solanaceae.
GUUUGCCUAUUUUUCUUUUGCAAUUCUAUGGGCAUGAUUGUUAUAUGCUUCAAAUUAGUAAAAGGCCUAUAGGUAUGAUAUCUAGGUGAUUCAAAUUAGUAAAAGUCCUAUAGGCAUGAUUUCUAAGUGAUUCAAAUUAGCAAAAUUCGUAUAGGCAUGAUAUCUAGGUGAUUCAAAUUAGUAAAAGUCCAAUAGGCAUGAUUUCUAAGUGAUUCAAAUUAGUAAAGGCCUAUAGGCAUGAUUUCUAAGUGAUCCAAAUUAGUAAAAGUCCAAUAGGCAUGAUAUAUACCCCGUUAACAUGCAGAUAACUAAAAGAAACCCUCCACUAACCUUGACUACUAUAUUCCCCAAGUUUCAUAACAAAGUUACUAUUACUGAGGCAAACUAAAUAAAAUACAUCGUAGCCCACAGCUAGAUUGAAACUGCCUAAUGCAAUCUUGAUAUCCAACACACGUGUUUCACCAAGUCCGGAUCCCAGAUUCCAAGGCCUUUCCUUAGAGUGUUUCAAAGUUCCAAGGAGCUUCAAGAGCCCAGGCAAUACUUACACCCUAAAGAGUGAGUGUUGUAACAGAGUAGUGCAAUGUGUGGAAUUACCAGCCCUUAGGCAUCCAAGUUCAAAGAGAAAUCUAGGGUCCCUAAGCAUGGCUUACCAGAGGGGGGUAGAACCUAAGAGCUACGAGUAGGUGUAAAGUGAGAGAGAAACCUCAGCAGGAGGUGGUCAUACCCAGUCAUGCAGGCCUUAGGCAUCCAAGUUCAGAGGGAAGUCUAGGGUCCCUAAACAUGGCUUACAAUAGGGGGGUAGAACUUAAGAGCUAUGAGUAGGUGCAAAGUGAGAGAGAAACUUGAGCAGGAGGUGGUCAUACCCAGUCAUGGCAUAGACUGGCACCCCCCUAACCUGCCACUCAGAUUCAAGCAAAUAAGAGCAGACUCUUAAAGAGUCAAACUCGGGUCUGAAUGAUGAUCAUACAUCAAUAUACCCAAAUUAGAGCUCAGCACAUUGAGGGGAAAGGGAAUGGGAAAGCAGUCGAGUAGAGACUCAUAAGAGUCUAGUCUUGAAUCACAUAUUGCAAUUCAUAGUGCUGCUAUGACCCAGGACAAACUCACAUACAAAGGAAAUAGGGGAAAGGGAUUAACAUGCUUGAAAGUAACUAAAUAGUGCAGGAAAGAAUAAAUGAGCACACAAAGAAAAGGGGUAGAAGCAGAGAAAUUGAAAAAGGAUGCUAUUUAACAUAAAAGAGCAUACCAGUUAUAAAUUCUAGGAUAGCAGACUAACAGCAGCAGAUAGACAGCCAGGAAUAAACAGGAACAAACUCAAGAAACUUUCAAGGGUCUAGGAGUUCAAGUAGCAAGAAGUGCAGGUGUAGAAUGCUCAAUAGAGAAUAGUAAUAGUAGCAGUAAAGAAGAGAGAUGAAUUCUGAUUUUUGUUUGCAGAAAGAAUUCUGUGUUGAAGUGAAAAGAAAAGCAUAUAUUUAUACUCGACAUCAGACAUGCAAGCAAGGAAAGAAAGCUAGUCGAUUAUUAAUCAGGAACCAAUCAGUAGAAGAAGAUUCCCUUAACUAAGGAAUCCAAAAUGUGAACGGAAAAGGGCAGAAGUUAUUUAAGGAAAGGGAAUCAAAUAAACACAUUGUAGACAACAUGCAAAUAAGGGUAAGUACAUGGGGUCUUAAUUAAGGAAAGGGAAUUUUGAAGUACACGGUCAAUUAAAUAAGGCAAGACGUGAAUCAAUUAGCACAUAGUAAAAUCAAGGAAUUAGGAAUUCUCAAAUCACCAAUAAACCAAGUCAGAAAAUAGGGAAUCGAGGGUUCAAAACUAAACAAGGAGAGAAAUCAAUUGAAUUCACACAAGCCAAUCUACAAUCCAUUCCUAAAUUAGAGGUUAUUAUGAGAGGGAACAUAUAACUAUAAAAAGGACCUGAGCUUUAAAACAUGCGAGGUUGAUUCAACCCACAGCAAAGUGUCACGCAACCAAGGAUCAGUGAGUAGAGGGCUAGAGCUAAAAAAUAUUAGAUGGAAUGGAAAAGGUCAGGCAACAGGCUCCGCAAAGUUUAGCAGAAGUCAAGAUCACUUGGAGAAACACAGAUGAAACAACUUCAUGAACUCAAAAAAUAGGGUUCUGGAAACCGAACUAGUUUAGAGAAGAGAAGCAAACAAAUCACAUACAAGCAGUCCGAAAAAAAAACCUAAAUUCUAGGGUUUCUUCCAUUAAUCAAGUGUAGAGAUGAAAGCAAGUAAGUCAGGCAAAGUAAACUCAGAAAAUCCAAAGGAACAUAAACGUUUCUUGAAAACAUAAUGAGAAAAACACAGUAAAAGAAAUCACCAGGAAACCCCAAAAGGAAACACAGUAAAAGAAAACACAUAGAAUUCACGGUAAAAAUACCUAGGAGUUAUAGCAGAGCAAAUACAACGAGAACAUAACGUGAAAAUCACAGUAUAACAAGUAAAAUCAAAGAAACCCUAAGUCUGAAAAGACGAAUAGUUUUGAAAGCAAACAUUUGAAAGAGAUUUUAAGCAGAUCUAGAGAAAUAUAGGUAAAACCUUGACGAGCUAGUGUUUCAGAAAACCCUAGAAGUGAGAAAGGCCUGGAAAAGGGCUGGUCCGAGUCGAACAAGUCAGAGAUAGACACAUACAGCUAGGAUAUGCCGGAUAUAAGCCGGAGAUGGUCGUGGAACUUGAAUCGCCAAAGGUCCAGAUUCAACCCUUCGUGGUCAAGUCAUGGGGCUUCAAUAAUCAAGCGUAAGGAGCCAUAGGAGACUGGUGGGUGGUGAAACCACCAUGGAUUCCGGUCAGAAAGUGGACGGAGAAGAUGAAUGAACUCAUCAGAGAGGAGGGAGGUGGAAGGUUCCAGAAAGAAUGGUAGAUAGAGAGAUAGAGACGAGUGAGGUAAAUGAGGGGGUAUUGGGGGUCGUUUGGUUUAAUUUAGAAAGGGUAGACAAGGACUAUUGAUCUAAAUGAUGAACUGUCGAGAUUAAAUGGG